Oryza sativa Japonica Group (Japanese rice) is the source of this 1120-nucleotide non-coding RNA. The record is from RefSeq and is a predicted model, not a curated record. NCBI's taxonomy places the organism in Eukaryota, Viridiplantae, Streptophyta, Magnoliopsida, Poales, Poaceae.
ACCAAAAAACACACUUUCCCCUUCUCUGUGUCCUCGCUCGCUAAUCGCUAUAAACCCUACUCCGAAAUCCGAUUACCGAAGCUGCAACCGGAGCACCACUCGAUCCCACCAUUCCCGCCGAUGGGGGCGGCGAUGUCGACCAGCAACGCGGUGGCCGCCGGCGCCUACAUGGGCCCGACCGGCUACGCCGCCGCCGCCGCCGCCGGCGCACUUGCGGCGGGCGGCGCCGUGGCCGUGCUCGUCGCCUUCACUCUCCCUACCCCUGACCAACCACUCCCACCCCUCCCGCCGAUCGUCGUGCGCUGCAGAAAGCUCCUCGAUGACAUCCGCCGCGCCGCGCCGCGUUCACACCACCGGUUCCAGGUCGCCUCCGGGGCGCUCGCCGAGGCCGACCGCGCCAUCGCCGCCGGCGCCUGGGGCGGCCUCCACAAACCGCUGCUGCUCGUCGUCAGGGCGUUCGCGCUGGACGCCCUGGGGCAGCGCCGCCGCGCGCUCCGCGCCCUCGCCGGCCGCCUCCCGCCGCGGGAGCGCGGGGACGCGCUCGUGAAGCGCGCGGAGAUCAACCUGGACUACUACCGCCGCUGCUUCUUCCCCUGCCCCGCCCGCCUCGACCGCGCCGCCGCCGAUCUCAAGGAGGCCCUCUGCUUCGUCCCCGACAACGCCCGCGCGCGCGCGCGAUGCUCGGCGAGUGCUCGAGGAAGAAGGGCGGCUACAAGAAGAAGGAUCUGGCUCGGGCACGCCGCCGUGAAGUAAUUAAUUACUGAUAUGUUACUAUUAUUUUUACUGCAGAGGAGUACUUAUCUACUCCCUCCGUUUCACAAUUGGAGUCGAGACCUGGUGAUCGAGAAGAGACUCGAUCUCUUACAAGUAUGGAUGGAGCUAGCUUUUGCAAGCUUUGGACACUCUUCGUCCUUCCCAAAUCCCAAUCGAGCUAGCAUUGUAUGAUCUAUGGUGAUCAGCAUACCAAUAAAUACUAUCAGCAAUAUGUUCCUGGACCAUUUUUCGUCCGGUCUUUGCUGGUGGAGUGAUGCCUGUGGCUGUUGGAAUAAAUGUACUUUUAAGAAUAAUUCCUGUCACGUGGAGGGAGUAUGUGAUAUUUUAUUUUUUAUGUGUUGGAUGA